This 1051-nucleotide long non-coding RNA is filed under the name Macaca fascicularis (crab-eating macaque). RNAcentral describes it as "lncRNA (ENSMFAG00000047835.1)". Lineage: Eukaryota; Metazoa; Chordata; Mammalia; Primates; Cercopithecidae. The record is from RNAcentral.
AGGAAACCAUAUUGCGAACAGGUUAAAAAUUUGGGCUUUAGGCUGGGCUCAGUGGCUCAUGCCUGUAAUCCCAGCACUUUGGGAGGCUGAGGCAGGUGGAUCACCUGAGGUCAAGAGUUUGAGACCAGCCUGACCAACAUGGUGAAACCCCAUCUCUACUAAAAAAAAAAAAGACAAAAAUUAGCCCGGCAUGGUGGCAGAUGCCUGUAAUCCCAGCUACUUGGGAGGCUGAGGCAGGAGAAUCGCUUGAACCCGGGAGGCAGAGGUUGCAGUGAGCUGAGAUUGCAACAUUGCACUCCAGCCUGGGUAACAGAGUGAGACUCGAUGUCUCAAUUAAAAAAAAACAAAAAAACAAAAAACAAAACAAAACAAAAUUAGGUUUUAAAUUUAGGUAGACCUGGUUUCUCAUCUGCUUUGGCCUGGAGGUGACGCCAUUCCUUCUGCUCGGAGUCUACUGGUCAGAACUGAUCACAUGACCCUAUCCUAACUGCAGGUCCGUUUGGAAAACGUGGGACUGUACAUAGACUAUUUGGUGAACACUAGCUCUCUUUGCAGAAUCACCACCAUUAUUAUCAGAUUCAAGAUGAGUACCUUUGUUUAGGUUUACAGUAACUUUUGUUUAGGCCUACAGUUAUUGGUGGAAUUAGGACUAGAAGCAAGAUGAGAGGUUUGAGCCACAGUUGAGGAUCCUAUCUGUAAAAGCCUUUAGUUUACAUGUGGUGAAACUUAGGUUCCCAGAGACAGAGCAAGCUUUUCAAGAUGUGAGAUGAAUUUUAGGAGCAGAACUGAAUCUUGCUCUUUUUGCUCUUUUUAUUAACCACCCUUCCUCUUUCUCCUCUCCUGGAGAUUUCUGUACGACCAUUUCACAAUUAUUUCUGUGAUGUUUUUCCUCCAAAUUACUGAAUUGUUUAUUAUCACCUAGAAAGAAUAAGUCUUUCAAUGAAAUGUAUGAGCAUGUAAAUUUUAUGAUAAUGAGAAACAUUUCCUCCUAAAACUAGGAUUGAGCAUCUGGAAACAUAAAACACACAUUAAAAUGACUGAAGAGACCCCC